GAUAAAUGAGCUUCAAAGGGGAAAAAUGAUGCAUCACCACAGAACAGAGCAGUGAGUCCACUUGGGAAGUUCCUCACCACUGAAAAAUGGAUGUGAACACAUCUGGAUGAAGAGACCACUUGUGGUGACCUGUGAAUGACCUGAUCAGGUCUUGGGAAUGCGGCAUGAAGGACUGAAACCAUUGGGACUGCUGUGAGAGGAACAGCUUUCUUUUUGUCGCUGGUGUAUAGAUCUCCAGAGACUUAAGGGUCUCCCUUGAAUCCUUAAGACUAUGAAGCCUCUCGUUGGUCUUAUUGGAAAAGAGAAAGGGACCUUCAAAUGGGAGGGCUUGGAUGGUUUGUUGCUCCUGUGGGGGAAGACCUGAUGAUUGCAGCCAAGAUGAACAUCACAUAAUGAUGGAGAAAGCCAUAGCUCGAGCCACAGAGUCCGCUGCAUCCAGACUUGCUUGCAAUGAUGUUUUGGAAAUUAAUUUCCCCAUCUCCCGCAUAGCACUGAACUCCUGCUUUGCCUCAUCGAGGCCUCCUUGUCUUUGAACUUCACGAUACUAUCCCACAAGCUGAAAUCGUAGAGACCCAGCAGAGCCUCUGGGUUCAUGAUC
Molecule: long non-coding RNA, 598 nt
Organism: Mauremys mutica (yellowpond turtle)
Lineage: Eukaryota; Metazoa; Chordata; Testudines; Geoemydidae
Exons: 3
Source: RefSeq, a predicted model, not a curated record